This 453-nucleotide ribosomal RNA is filed under the name uncultured Pseudomonas sp. RNAcentral describes it as "bacterial SSU rRNA". It matches the Rfam family "Bacterial small subunit ribosomal RNA", at positions 930 to 1382 of the family's 1533-position model. The record is from RNAcentral. Lineage: Bacteria; Pseudomonadati; Pseudomonadota; Gammaproteobacteria; Pseudomonadales; Pseudomonadaceae.
CGGUGGAGCAUGUGGUUUAAUUCGAAGCAACGCGAAGAACCUUACCAGGCCUUGACAUGCAGAGAACUUUCCAGAGAUGGAUUGGUGCCUUCGGGAACUCUGACACAGGUGCUGCAUGGCUGUCGCCAGCUCGUGUCGUGAGAUGUUGGGUUAAGUCCCGUAACGAGCGCAACCCUUGUCCUUAGUUACCAGCACGUUAUGGUGGGCACUCUAAGGAGACUGCCGGUGACAAACCGGAGGAAGGUGGGGAUGACGUCAAGUCAUCAUGGCCCUUACGGCCUGGGCUACACACGUGCUACAAUGGUCGGUACAAAGGGUUGCCAAGCCGCGAGGUGGAGCUAAUCCCAUAAAACCGAUCGUAGUCCGGAUCGCAGUCUGCAACUCGACUGCGUGAAGUCGGAAUCGCUAGUAAUCGUGAAUCAGAAUGUCACGGUGAAUACGUUCCCGGGCCUU